CAUCAUGGGGGGUUUCGACCCCUUCUAAGUCCUCGUCCGAGAACGAGAUGGCUUCACCAGUACGUGGGCGCUUCGGGGGUGCUCCCUGGGCGGCCGUUCCUGCCGAGGCCCGCCCGAUCAUAUUGAUGGUGCCGGCGAUGGGCCUGUUGUCGCCCGGAUUUUCGGUUGGUGCGACAUUCUCCGCCGGCCUCCUUUCCUCAGGUCGGUUCCUCACGAACCGGUUGAGUACUCCCCGUCGGAUGAGCGCUUCUAUCUCAUCCCGGAGUUGGUAGCAGUCCUCCGUGUCGUGCCCACGAUCUCGGUGGAAGCGGCAAUACUUUCUGGGAUUCCGGGGGAAUCCCGUGUCUUGCAUAGGAGGCGGGGGUCGGAAGAAGUCCCGACCCUCGAUUUCCAUCAGGAUCUCGGCCCGGGGAGCGUUGAUGGGUGUGUAGUUCUCGUACUUUCCCGGGUACGUCCGAGGCCGUGGUGGGGACCUCGGCCGAGGAGGGGUCCUUUGCUGAGAUCGCCUCUGCUGUUGGGGCGGGCUUCUCAGUCUGGGGAGGUUCUUCUCUCGGCGGGGGGAUCGGCUCCUUUGUCGGCCGCGCUCCUCGCAGCGUUUCUUCUGCUUCUUGGAGGCGGGCUCAAUUGCCCCCCGCCUGGAUGCAACUGCCUCCUCGGCCUUGGNNNNNNNNNNNNNNNNNNNNNNNNNNNNNNNNNNNNNNNNNNNNNNNNNNNNNGGCCCUGUUGUCGCCCGGAUUUUCGGUUGGUGCGACAUUCUCCGCCGGCCUCCUUUCCUCAGGUCGGUUCCUCACGAACCGGUUGAGUACUCCCCGUCGGAUGAGCGCUUCUAUCUCAUCCCGGAGUUGGUAGCAGUCCUCCGUGUCGUGCCCACGAUCUCGGUGGAAGCGACAAUACUUCCUGGGAUUCCGGGGGAGUCCCGUGUCUCUCAUAGGAGGCGGGGGUCGGAAGAAGUCCCGACCCUCGAUUUCCAUCAGGAUUUCGGCCCGGGGAGCGUUGACGGGUGUGUAGUUCUCGUACUUUCCCGGGUACGUCCGAGGCCGUGGUGGGGACCUCGGCCGAGG
This 1061-nucleotide long non-coding RNA is filed under the name Phoenix dactylifera (date palm). Its description in RNAcentral is "long non-coding RNA (PDAC_LNC006009)". The record is from RNAcentral. Lineage: Eukaryota; Viridiplantae; Streptophyta; Magnoliopsida; Arecales; Arecaceae.